Molecule: ribosomal RNA, 500 nt
Filed under: uncultured bacterium
Lineage: Bacteria
Description: partial 16S ribosomal RNA
Rfam family: Bacterial small subunit ribosomal RNA
Source: RNAcentral
AUUGAACGCUGGCGGCAGGCUUAACACAUGCAAGUCGAGCGGGGUGAGGUGCUUCGGUACUGAUCCUAGCGGCGGACGGGUGAGUAAUGCUUAGGAAUCUGCCAUUUAGUGGGGGACAACAUUCCGAAAGGAAUGCUAAUACCGCAUACGUCCUACGGGAGAAAGCAGGGGAUCUUCGGACCUUGCGCUAAAUGAUGAGCCUAAGUCGGAUUAGCUAGUUGGUGGGGUAAAGGCCUACCAAGGCGACGAUCUGUAGCGGGUCUGAGAGGAUGAUCCGCCACACUGGGACUGAGACACGGCCCAGACUCCUACGGGAGGCAGCAGUGGGAAUAUUGGACAAUGGGCGGAAGCCUGAUCCAGCCAUGCCGCGUGUGUGAAGAAGGCCUUUUGGUUGUAAAGCACUUUAAGCGAGGAGGAGGCUACCUGGAUUAAUACUCUGGGAUAGUGGACGUUACUCGCAGAAUAAGCACCGGCUAACUCUGUGCCAGCCGCCGCCGUAA